Molecule: ribosomal RNA, 175 nt
Filed under: uncultured bacterium
Lineage: Bacteria
Description: partial 16S ribosomal RNA
Rfam family: Bacterial small subunit ribosomal RNA
Source: RNAcentral
CCGGAAUUGCUAGUAAUGGCAGGUCAGCAUACUGCCGUGAAUACGUUCCCGGGCCUUGUACACACCGCCCGUCACACCAUGAGAGUUGGGAAUACCCGAAGCCUGUGAGCUAACUUAUAAGAGGCAGCAGUCGAGGGUAGAAUCAAUGAUUGGGGUGAAGUCGUAACAAGGUACC